This 68-nucleotide transfer RNA is filed under the name Cnizocoris sinensis. Its description in RNAcentral is "12S ribosomal RNA". The record is from RNAcentral. Lineage: Eukaryota; Metazoa; Arthropoda; Insecta; Hemiptera; Phymatidae.
CAGAUUAUACUCUAAGAGAGAUUAUUAUUUACAAUAAUAAAUUAAUCGUGCAAUUCGAUUUAAUCUGA